Molecule: ribosomal RNA, 519 nt
Filed under: uncultured eukaryote
Lineage: Eukaryota
Description: SSU rRNA
Rfam family: Eukaryotic small subunit ribosomal RNA
Source: RNAcentral
AGGGCACCACCAGUAGUGGAGCCUGCGGCUUAAUUUGACUCAACACGGGAAAACUCACCCGGCCCGGACACUGGAAGGAUUGACAGAUUGAGAGCUCUUUCUUGAUUCAGUGGGUGGUGGUGCAUGGCCGUUCUUAGUUGGUGGAGUGAUUUGUCUGGUUAAUUCCGAUAACGAACGAGACUCUAGCCUACUAAAUAGAUAGUCGGCUUACAAACGUCGACUAGACUUCUUAGAGGGACAGGCGGUGAUUCAACCGCACGAAACAGAGCAAUAACAGGUCUGUGAUGCCCUUAGAUGUCCGGGGCCGCACGCGCGCUACACUGAAGUGAUCAGCGUGCUUUUUCAGCCUACUCUGUCAAGAGUGGGAAACCCAAUGAACCUUCUUCGUGAUUGGGAUAGGGGAUUGUAAUUAUUCCCCUUGAACGAGGAAUUCCCAGUAAGCGCGAGUCAUAAGCUCGCGUUGAUUACGUCCCUGCCCUUUGUACACACCGCCCGUCGCUACUACCGAUUGAAUGUCUU